This is a long non-coding RNA of Lutra lutra (Eurasian river otter), 1795 nucleotides long. RefSeq lists it as uncharacterized. The transcript has 3 exons. Lineage: Eukaryota; Metazoa; Chordata; Mammalia; Carnivora; Mustelidae. The record is from RefSeq and is a predicted model, not a curated record.
GCUGGGGUGUUUCCUCCAUCUCACUCUGAGCCUGCCAGGAUCUCUAACAGCCGUGUUCUGUGUGGGUACCCUUGUUGGACAGACCCUUUCCAGGCUUCCUGCUCUGCCAGACUGCCCAGAGUUCAGGUGCAGAUAAUGGUCCCUUUCCAAACGUAAGCAUCUCUGUAACCACUGCCCUAACUCAUCAGAUGAGGAGCCUGGGGCCAGGGGAGCCAUGGGCCUGCCUGUGGAACCUGGAUCAGAGGGAGCACUGGAACCCAGUCCCCAAGCUCCUCCCUGGAUACCUGCGGGUGAGCCUCCUCAUGAAGGGGGCCCUUGGGGUCCGACCCCAAGGUACAACAAGGUGAUCUGAGAAGUUUCUGUGUUCCGCUGUGCUCACCGCCAGUGUGGCCAUCUGUCCCCACACAGUGCUGUAACAGCAUCAUUGACUCUGUUCCCCAUGCUGUGCCUUUUAUUCCCAUGACUUAUUCCUUCCGUAACUGGAACUCUGUAUCUCCUGCUGCCUUCACGCACUUUGCCCAUCCCCCACUCCUCCAUGUCCAGAGCAUCUUGCAAUGACUUCUUUGGGGUGUGCCUAGGAGCCUGACCCUGGUCACAACCAGGCCCCAGCUCCCCACAGCCACCAGCCUGGUCCGCAUCAGACUCCAGCCCAGCACCUGCUUCAGCUCCCUUCCCCCCUCAACGCUGGCCCCACACCCGCCCUUCCCGAGGGCACUCUGUGGUCAGCAGGGGCAGCAGAGCCCUGACAACCACCCUGUGACUCACGCAUUCUUCAGAGGUCCCUGAGCUGGUGCUGCCUGCCGCCUGCAGCUCCCAGGAAGGUUCGGCUCUGGCCACACAGGCGUAUCUGAGGGGAUUUGUGACCCAAGAGGUUUUUUCUUAACUUUAUUUUUAAUUGUGGUAAAAUACACAUAACAUAAAAUUUGCCAUCUUAACUGUUUCUGGGAGUCAAGUUUACUGGCAUGAAGUACGGCCACAUGGUCGUGGAGCCCAGCCAUCCCCUCCACCCAUCCCAGAACGUCUUCUUCUUCCCAGCCUGCAGCGUGGCACCCAUUGACGGCUAACUCCUCCUUCUCCCUGCCCCCCACCUGGCCCCUGGCAGCCUCCCUUCUCCUUUCUGCCUCCGUGAACUUGACUUCUCUGGGGACCUCAUGUAGGAGGACUGUCCUUUGUGACUGGCUUAGGUCACUGAACACGAUGGCCUCCAGCUUCAUCCCUGUGUCAGAACUUCCUUCCUUUUUGAGGCUGAAGAAUAUUCCACUGCAUGUCUACGCCACGUUUUGUGUGUGCAUUCAUCCACUUGGGUGGCUUUGACCUUUCAGCUACUGGGAAUAACGCUGCUGUGAACGUGGGUAGGGGUGGGGGGCAACAUCUGUGGGAGACCCUGCUUUCAAUUCUCCUAUGUUCAUACUCAGAAGUGAAGUUGCUGGAUCCUACGGUACUUCUGGUUUUAAUUUUUUGAGGAACCUCCAUUUGGUUUCCCACAGAGGAGUUAUUCUGCUUUUCCAUCAACAGUACACAAGGGACCCCUUCACUCAUCACUAGCUGUUGUCUUUCUUUUUCCCCCACACCUCUAGCCAUCCUAAUGGGUAUGAAGUAUCUUUUACCUUCAUCAUUCAUGUUUUAAAAAGUGGGUUCUUUAUGUGGAAUAAAAAUUUCAACAUCAAUUUUCUUCUUCCCAAUCUCAGUGUCUCUCUUUCUAGAGACAUUCACUGUUUCCACCCCAAAGAAUGCUUCUGGAGAUGGUCUAUGCACAGAUAAACAGAUGCGUACAUACUUUUUAAAACAAACAACA